RNAcentral lists this ribosomal RNA (250 nucleotides) under uncultured bacterium. RNAcentral's name for it is "partial 16S ribosomal RNA". It matches the Rfam family "Bacterial small subunit ribosomal RNA", at positions 524 to 773 of the family's 1533-position model. The record is from RNAcentral.
UACAGAGGGUGCGAGCGUUGUCCGGAAUCACUGGGCGUAAAGGGCGCGUAGGCGGCCCGAUAAGUAGGGGGUGAAAUCUUGCGGCUCAACCGCAAGGCUGCCUUCUAAACUGUCGGGCUGGAGCACGGUAGAGGCAGAUGGAAUUCCCGGUGUAGCGGUGGAAUGCGUAGAGAUCGGGAAGAACACCAGUGGCGAAGGCGGUCUGCUGGGCCGUUGCUGACGCUGAGGCGCGACAGCGUGGGGAGCAAAC